This 253-nucleotide ribosomal RNA is filed under the name uncultured bacterium. Its description in RNAcentral is "partial 16S ribosomal RNA". It matches the Rfam family "Bacterial small subunit ribosomal RNA", at positions 524 to 776 of the family's 1533-position model. The record is from RNAcentral.
UAUGGAGGGGACUAGCGUUGUUCGGAAUUACUGGGCGUAAAGCGCACGUAGGCGGAUUUGUAAGUCAGGGGUGAAAUCCCGGGGCUCAACCUCGGAACUGCCUUUGAUACUGCAAAUCUCGAGUCCGGAAGAGGUGAGUGGAAUUCCUAGUGUAGAGGUGAAAUUCGUAGAUAUUAGGAAGAACACCGGUGGCGAAGGCGGCGUCCUGGACCAACACUGACACUGAUGAGCGAAAGCCAGGGGAGCAAACGGG